RNAcentral lists this ribosomal RNA (496 nucleotides) under uncultured bacterium. Its description in RNAcentral is "partial 16S ribosomal RNA". It matches the Rfam family "Bacterial small subunit ribosomal RNA", at positions 28 to 506 of the family's 1533-position model. The record is from RNAcentral.
GACGAACGCUGGCGGCGUGCCUAAUACAUGCAAGUUGAGCGAUGAAGCUUGGUGCUUGCACCAAUUUGAAGAGCAGCGAACGGGUGAGUAACGCGUGGGGAAUCUGCCUUUGAGCGGGGGACAACAUUUGGAAACGAAUGCUAAUACCGCAUAACAACUUUAAACAUAAGUUUUAAGUUUGAAAGAUGCAAUUGCAUCACUCAAAGAUGAUCCCGCGUUGUAUUAGCUAGUUGGUGAGGUAAAGGCUCACCAAGGCGAUGAUACAUAGCCGACCUGAGAGGGUGAUCGGCCACAUUGGGACUGAGACACGGCCCAAACUCCUGCGGGAGGCAGCAGUAGGGAAUCUUCGGCAAUGGACGAAAGUCUGACCGAGCAACGCCGCGUGAGUGAAGAAGGUUUUCGGAUCGUAAAACUCUGUUGGUAGAGAAGAACGUUGGUGAGAGUGGAAAGCUCAUCAAGGGACGGGAACUACCCAGAAAGGGACGGCGAACUACGG